RNAcentral lists this ribosomal RNA (468 nucleotides) under uncultured bacterium. RNAcentral's name for it is "partial 16S ribosomal RNA". It matches the Rfam family "Bacterial small subunit ribosomal RNA", at positions 28 to 507 of the family's 1533-position model. The record is from RNAcentral.
GACGAACGCUGGCGGCGUGCUUAACACAUGCCAGUCGAACGAUGAAAGAGGAGCUUGCUCCUCUGGAUUAGUGGCGAACGGGUGAGUAACACGUGAGCAAUCUGCCCCUGACCCCGGAAUAACUACGGGAAACUGUAGCUAAUACCGGAUAUGCGCCGAACAGGCAUCUGUAUCGGUGGGAAAGAAUUUCGGUCAGGGAUGAGCUCGCGGCCUAUCAGCUUGUUGGUGAGGUAACGGCUCACCAAGGCGACGACGGGUAGCCGGCCUGAGAGGGUGACCGGCCACAUUGGGACUGAGACACGGCCCAGACUCCUACGGGAGGCAGCAGUGGGGAAUAUUGCACAAUGGGCGCAAGCCUGAUGCAGCAACGCCGCGUGAGGGAUGACGGCCUUCGGGUUGUAAACCUCUUUUAGCAGGGAAGAAGCGAAAGUGACGGUACCUGCAGAAAAAGCGCCGGCUAACUACGUG